UCGGGAUAGCUCAGUUGGUAGAGCAGAGGACUGAAAAUCCUCGUGUCCCCGGUUCAAUAUA
Molecule: transfer RNA, 61 nt
Filed under: Aletris pauciflora var. khasiana
Lineage: Eukaryota; Viridiplantae; Streptophyta; Magnoliopsida; Dioscoreales; Nartheciaceae
Description: partial tRNA-Phe
Source: RNAcentral